This 69-nucleotide transfer RNA is filed under the name Scincella reevesii. Its description in RNAcentral is "tRNA-Pro". It matches the Rfam family "tRNA". Rfam says of the family: Transfer RNA (tRNA) molecules are approximately 80 nucleotides in length. The record is from RNAcentral. Lineage: Eukaryota; Metazoa; Chordata; Lepidosauria; Squamata; Scincidae.
CAGGAGGUAGUUUAAUAAGAAUGCUAGUUUUGGGGACUAGCGGUAGGGGUUUAAGUUCCCUUCUUUUGA